UUAAGUAAUUUGAAGGAAAAAAGAAAAGAAAAGAAAAGAAAAAAGAUUAAGACCUUAUGGCUGGGUUUAAACCCCAAAUUCGGCUAUAAGAUCUAUUUAAUUAAUUUGUAGGGGGAAUUACAGAUUACUCACUUAUGGUUUAGUUUGAAUUUAACUUACCCACCUGUGAUUUCAUUUUUAACAAUUUAUCCACUUGUGCUUCCCUCCAUUACUACUCUGUAACCCACCUCUCUUUCAAACGUUACUCUAACACAUUUUUUUUUUUAUCAAAAACAAAACCCAAAACAGAUCAAACACUCCUCUUUCUCUCAAAGUUAAAUAGUUUCCGGCAUAUGUGGCUAAAACUAGACAUGAGAAUUUGGAGUUUGGAUGAGUAAAAGCAGUUUAGAGUUUAGACAAGGAUGUUGUUUGUCUCAUCAACUUGGAAAGGCCAAUCAAGCUCUCACUCUCUCACCUCCAUUCUAUGGCUGCAACAGUUCACUCUCUUUCUCCUUAGAUCCACAACCACAACACCACUACUUUUCCCACUUCAAACCCCACCAAACUCUUCCUUUCACUUCCUUACCUCUUUUCCCCAAAUACCCACUUCUUACUAUUGCUCACAAACACAACUGCUAAGCUUUCAAAUCCUCUUCUUCUUCCUCCCACCCCACUCCUUCAACAACAACAACAACAAGCUCUUCUUUUCUUGAAGACCCAUUUUGAACAGGUCGGUUUCUAAGCAAUGAAGAGCUUGAAAAGCUCAAACUCCUCGAGGAUUUCAGGUAUUAUCAGGAACUGGAAUCUGGGUCAUUGUGGAUUCGGGUGAUGAGGGCAGAGGAGAUGGACAUCAUAAUUGCUUUGCUCCAUUUACUUGAUUUAGGGAUUUGGUUUCUUUUGGUUGUCAGGGUUUGAAAAAUGGGAUUUGAGGCAUGGUUACUAAUGGAUUCGUGGGUUUGGAUGUGUGGGUGUGUUGAUGUUUGUAUUUUGACUUGGGUUUUGGGGUUGUAUUUUGAUAGAUUUGUGGUUUGUACUUUGAUGGUGUGGGUGUGGGUGUGUUAGUGUUGGUGUCUAUGUAAAAUCAGGUGGUAUGGGGAUUGAUUGCUAGGUUCUUAUGCAAAUUCUAGUGAUGGGUUUGAAGCUUAAGAUGUUUGAAUAUAGGUUGUUGGUUCGAGGUCGGGUUUAUUAAUUCUGUUGUUGUUGUUGUUGUUGUUUGUUUUUUUUUUUUUUUUUUUUUUUUAAAUAUUUUUUCUGGGUUUUUGAUUGCAUUGUACUCCAAAGCAAUAUUGAGUUUUUAUUUUUGAUACAGCGAGAGAGAGGAGUGUUUGAUCUGUUUUGGGUUUUGUUUUAGAUAAAAAAUGUGUUAGAGUAACGUCUGAAAUGGAGGUGAGUUACGGAGUAGUAACGGAGUGAAGCACCGGUGGGUAAAGUAUUAAAAAUGAAACUACGGGUGGAUAAGUUAAAUUUGAGGCAAACCACAGAUCUUGGUGUCAAGUUUAUGUGAUCCAAAUUGCAUGAAGCCUGAUUUCAAUGAAUCCCUCUUUUCGGCCUCUGGUUUAGAUGAACGUUUGAUGUGCUAUGAAUGGAGCCCAAAGCUUGAGCCUCAAUCAUUUUCCGUCGCUGUCAAUCAACAUAAUGGUAUGGCCAAAUCCUAAAAACAGUGUAAAUGGGACAAACCACUCAGUGGUCCUUUAGUACCUCAACUCCAUACGAAUGGUGUGGUUCAUGUGUGGACUGAUGAAUACGUGUUGGUGUUGGAUUAUAUGGCUCCAACGAAAUAGACAGGUUGCAAUUUGUUUGUUUUUCAAAA
This is a long non-coding RNA of Quercus robur (English oak), 1789 nucleotides long. RefSeq lists it as uncharacterized. The record is from RefSeq and is a predicted model, not a curated record. NCBI's taxonomy places the organism in Eukaryota, Viridiplantae, Streptophyta, Magnoliopsida, Fagales, Fagaceae. The transcript is spliced from 2 exons.